This is a long non-coding RNA of Crotalus tigris (Tiger rattlesnake), 358 nucleotides long. RefSeq lists it as uncharacterized. The record is from RefSeq and is a predicted model, not a curated record. Lineage: Eukaryota; Metazoa; Chordata; Lepidosauria; Squamata; Viperidae. The transcript has 3 exons.
AGCUGCCGGCAAAUGCAGGCCAGUCUCGACACUGGUCGCCUUGCACUUGGGAACGGUGAGGUCAGCCCAACCCGGCGCCGGGUGAGAGAAGUCUGCCUAUGAGCAUAAAUCUCAAAAAAAAAAGAGCAAGCAAUUUUCCUUUCAAAACAAGCUUACAAGCAAAAGUCUGAUAGGAAAAGUACAGACAAAGGGGAAAAAGAUAGAUAAUAAAGUUGAAAUGGCUCAUUGGUCAAUAUUGUUAAACUGUUAUUCAAAUAAAACAUGAAGAUAUUCAUCUCUUACCAGCUUCCCCAGGGUCAUCCUCAUUCACGAGGACAGCACUCUUUGUGACAUCUUCUGCUGCACUAUAAUCUAAGUU